UACGUAGGGUGCGAGCGUUGUCCGGAAUUAUUGGGCGUAAAGAGCUCGUAGGCGGUCUGUCGCGUCUGCUGUGAAAACCCGAGGCUUAACCUCGGGCUGGCGGUGGAUACGGGCAGACUAGAGGUAGGUAGGGGAGAAUGGAAUUCCCGGUGUAGCGGUGAAAUGCGCAGAUAUCGGGAGGAACACCGGUGGCGAAGGCGGUUCUCUGGGCCUUACCUGACGCUGAGGAGCGAAAGCGUGGGGAGCGAACAGG
Molecule: ribosomal RNA, 253 nt
Filed under: uncultured bacterium
Lineage: Bacteria
Description: partial 16S ribosomal RNA
Rfam family: Bacterial small subunit ribosomal RNA
Source: RNAcentral